GACAGAGGGUGCAAACGUUGUUCGGAAUUACUGGGCGUAAGCGUGUGUAGGCGGCCAUGUAAGUCAGGUGUGAAAUCCCCGGGCUUAACCUGGGAACUGCAUUUGUGACUGCAUAGCUAGAGUACGGUAGAGGGGGAUGGAAUUCCGCGUGUAGCAGUGAAAUGCGUAGAUAUGCGGAGGAACACCGAUGGCGAAGGCAAUCCCCUGGACCUGUACUGACGCUCAUGCACGAAAGGCGUGGGGAGCAAACAGGAUUAACGAAAACCCCAG
Molecule: ribosomal RNA, 270 nt
Filed under: uncultured bacterium
Lineage: Bacteria
Description: partial 16S ribosomal RNA
Rfam family: Bacterial small subunit ribosomal RNA
Source: RNAcentral